GUGAGUCAUCGAAUCUUUGAACGCACAUUGCGCUCGCCAGUAUUCUGGCGAGCAUGCCUGUUCGAGCGUCAUUUCAACCAUCAAGCUCUGCUUGCGUUGGGGAUCCGCGGCUGCCCGCGGUCCCUCAAAAACAGUGGCGGGCUCGCUAGUCACACCGAGCGUAGUAACUCUACAUCGUUCUGGUCGUGCGGCGGGUUCUUGCCGUAAAACCCCCCAAUUUCUAAGGUUGACCUCGGAUCAGGUAGGAAUACCCGCUGAACUUAAGCAUAUCAAUAAGCGGAGGA
This 284-nucleotide unclassified non-coding RNA is filed under the name Chaetomium sp. RNAcentral's name for it is "partial contains 5.8S ribosomal RNA, internal transcribed spacer 2, and large subunit ribosomal RNA". The stretch from base 1 to 71 matches the Rfam family "5.8S ribosomal RNA", at positions 84 to 154 of the family's 154-position model. The record is from RNAcentral. Lineage: Eukaryota; Fungi; Ascomycota; Sordariomycetes; Sordariales; Chaetomiaceae.